Prinia subflava (tawny-flanked prinia) is the source of this 3262-nucleotide long non-coding RNA. RefSeq lists it as uncharacterized. The transcript is spliced from 2 exons. Lineage: Eukaryota; Metazoa; Chordata; Aves; Passeriformes; Cisticolidae. The record is from RefSeq and is a predicted model, not a curated record.
GAAUUUUGGGGGAUUUUUGGAGAAUUUUGGGGGAAUUUUGGGAAUUUGGGGGGAUUUUGGGGGAUUUUUGGGGAAUUUUGGGGGAUUUUGGGCAUUUUGGAGGAUUUUCACAACCCCUUGUUGAGUUCCCAGCGUGGGGGUGGCACCAUCUGAGCUGUGAAAUUCCAAUUUUUCCUUGGAUCCACACCAAAAAAAACCCAAAAAAAGGGGGGAAGCGCUUCCCUGGCUGCUGCUCUGGCAGGGAGGAGGAGUUGAGGAUUUUUGGGAUUUUUGGGAAUUUUUGGGAUGAGAUCCCUGCCUUGGAGCUGGGAUUUGGGAGCAGGGGGGGUUGGAUUUUAUGGAAUCACAGAGAGGCCGUAAAGGCUCAGGAAUUCCCAGAUUUUAGGAAAGGCUCAGGAAUUCCCAGGCUCAGGAAUUCCCAGGCUUUAGGAAUGGCUCAGGAAUUCCCAGCUCUGGGAAUGGCUCAGGAAUUCCCAGCUCUGGGAAUGGCUCAGGAAUUCCCAGGCUCAGGAAUUCCCAGCUCUGGGAAUGGCUCAGGAAUUCCCAGCUCUGGGAAUGGCUCAGGAAUUCCCAGCUCUGGGAAUGGCUCAGGAAUUCCCAGGUUUUAGGAAUGGCUCAGGAAUUCCCAGGCUUUAGGAAUGGCUCAGGAAUUCCCAGCUCUGGGAAUGGCUCAGGAAUUCCCACAGGAAUCCCCAAUCCAGUAAAAUUCCCGGCUGCAGAUCUUUCAUCCUCGCCAGUUCCACCCCUUCCCCUCCUCAUCCAGAGCCUCUGGAACGGGAUGUGGCUGCUGGGAUUUGUUUUUUUGGGAUGCUGCCAGGGAAUCUCCCUCAGUGAUCCAGGAUUUCAGAAAAUCCAGGAUUUUCAGGAUGAUUUGGGGUCGGGGCACCCUCAAUCCUCACCCCAUCCCCGUGGGCAGGGAUUCCUUCCCCGAUCCCAAAUCGCUCCAGGGAUGGAACAGAGGAGAUGAUUCCCUAAAACCUCUCCCUGCUGCGUGGCUGGGGCUGAUCCCAUCAGCAGGGACACAAUUCCCCAUGGGAUUCCUCUGGGAAUGCUCCCCUGAGACCCCUGGAAAUCCCAGCUCCACCAGUAACAACCACAGAGGAAUUCUGCACAAAUCCCAGCCUGGAGACGCUGGGAAAGCCCAGAGCCAAGCCCAGCACGGGGUGUGGAAGGAAAAAUCUGAUUUGAGAGGGAAUUACAAAGAUCCCAAAGGAGCCCCUCUUACCUCAGGAGCAUCAGGGAAGAGCCAAUUCCUGGGAAUGCUGCAGCAGGGACCUCACCCUGAAUUCCUGCACUGGAAAAUUGCAUCCUGCCAGGAAGAAAAUUGAAUCCUGCCAGGGAAUCCUGCCUGGAUUCGUGGCCUGGCUGUCAAAUCCAUCUCAUUUCCAGUGGAAUUGGAGCAUCCAUUCCCAUGGCAAUGCACCAAUCCUUCCCAUUUCUCUCCUAAUAGCUCUCGGAUCGAGUGGAAAAGCUUUGCCAGAGAUCAUCCCUUAGGAUGCAGCUGAUUCCCAAGUGGAAUUUUGUGGUGCUGCCUUUGGAAUAACCCAGCUGGUGCCUGGUUUUUUGUGGGAUGUAGAUGGGAAUGUUGUGGCAGGAUGUGAAUAUAUGGAAUUAACUGGAUGUGCUGGGAGUGUUUUGCAAACAUUCCCUUGGAUCUCACAGCUCCCUCCCUCCUUCCCUCCCUCUUCCAGCCCUUCUCCAGGCAGAUUUUUUAGCCCUGGAGCCUGCCAGAGCUCGUUUGGGAUCCCAAAAUAACCCCUGAGCCUCUCAGAGAUGCUGGAAUUAGCCAGACACUCCGGGGUGAUGCAGGGAUUUGGGAGGGAUGGAGAUUCCUGGGAUCUGAGUCACCCCAGGGACCUGGAGAAGCCUUCCCUGUGCUGCUGGAAUUCUGCUCCCGGCAUCUUCUCCCCUCCCUGCUUUCCCAAAGGGCUCAUCCACAUCUGAUUUUUGUAGGAUUUUCGGGAAAACCCCAACCCAGAGAAAAUCCCCCGUUGUUCUUGGCUCUGUUCACGUCUCCUCUCUGGAAGCGUUUCCCAACAAAAUCCUGGUUUUGUCAGGAGAAAUUGGCUCUGGAACACCCUCCUGCCCUGUGCCUUGGCAUUCCCACCUUUUUCCCUGAGUGGGAACAACUUUUCCAUCCUCCAGGGGUGUAAAACCUCAGCCUGGCCCUGCUGGGAGCUGGCACAAACCUGGGCUUUGUCCUAGGGAGGGGUGAAUGCGAGGAAAACGCUCCAGCUGGAAUUCCAGAGGUAUCCCCUGUUUCCCAGAACACAAAAAUCAACAACACGGAGGCAGAGGUCUGCAGUGAAAGCUGCUCCCCACCAAAAAAAGGGCCCAGCCUGUUUAUUUCUUUUUUUUAUAUAAUUUUAUGGGUCUGGGAGCAGAUUGGAUUCUGGGGUUGCCACCCCUUCACCCCACUGGCCAGACCAGCUGUCAACCAACAUUGUUUUCAGGCUGGAAAUAUGUAAGCAAAGGACAGUGAACAAAAAUAAGAAAGGUUGUUUAUGUUCCAAAGUGUGAGAAAGUGAAAAACUGACCCUUAAUAUUGUACAGAAACUAAAGAACUGACUCCAUCUUAUAAGCAAGUAGAAGGCUUUAAAAAAAUCUCAGAAAAACCAGGGCAACACUUGGUGGCUGUGGCACAGACAGGAUGUGACCAAGUUCAAGAUUUAGGCCUGGAUUGUGUUUGUAGAGGGAAAUUUGGGCAGUGCUGGGCUCCCCCUGCCCUGCCCUCGGCAAAAAUCAGUCCUUGGUUGUUGCCCGGAACACAAAAAUCAACAACACGGAGGAGGCAGAGGUCUGCAGUGAAAGCUGCUCCCCACCAAAAAGGGCCCAGCCUGUUUAUUUCUUUUCCUUUUAUAAUUUUGUGGGUCUGGGAGCAGAUUGGAUUCUGGGGUUGCCACCCCUUCACCCCACUGGCCAGACCAGCUGUCAACCAACAUUGUUUUCAGGCUGGAAAUAUGUAAGCAAAGGACAGUGAACAAAAACAAGAAAGGUUGUUUAUGUUCCAAAGUGUGAGAAAGUGAAAAACUGACCCUUAAUAUUGUACAGAAACUAAAGAACUGACUCCAUCUUAUAAGCAAGGCUUUAAAAAAUCUCAGAAAAACCAGGGCAGGGUUGUUUUUUUUAAAAAAAAAUCUCAGAAAAACCAGGGCAACAAUCCCCAUCACCUCUUUCCUGGGAAGAGCCUCCUCCCCUGCCCGUCCCUUAUCCCUGCUUUCCUUUUCUAUUCAGAUUAUUUCAAUAAAGCCACUGGCUCCGA